GCACCUUUGUGUCCUGGCUUUUUCAUUUUUUAAAAUUAGUUUUCACGAUUCUGAAGUAAGUGGUAUAAAAACAGUUAGGAUGAAUUCACCCAUGCCUGACUGCACAUCAAAGUGUCGAUCCCUGAAGCAUGCUUUGGAUGUCCUUUCUGUGGUAACAAAGGGGAGCGAAAACCAGAUUAAGGCCUUUCUCUCCAGUCAUUGUUACAAUGCUGCAACUAUCAAGGAUGUUUUUGGCAGGAAUGCCCUCCACCUUGUUUCCUCCUGUGGAAAGAAAGGAGUGUUAGAUUGGCUUAUUCAGAAAGGAGUGGAUCUGUUGGUGAAAGACAAAGAGUCUGGAUGGACAGCAUUGCACAGAAGCAUUUUUUAUGGACAUAUUGAUUGUGUUUGGUCUCUAUUGAAGCAUGGUGUUAGUCUGUAUAUUCAAGAUAAAGAAGGCUUGUCAGCUUUGGAUCUUGUAAUGAAGGAUAGACCAACUCAUGUAGUAUUCAAGAAUACUGAUCCUACAGAUGUUUAUACUUGGGGCGAUAAUACAAAUUUUACCCUGGGUCAUGGAAGCCAGAAUAGCAAACAUCAUCCAGAGUUGGUGGAUCUGUUCUCCAGGAGUGGGAUUUAUAUCAAGCAGGUGGUGCUUUGUAAAUUUCACUCCGUGUUUCUGUCUCAGAAAGGGCAGGUUUAUACCUGUGGUCAUGGUCCUGGAGGGCGAUUAGGACAUGGAGAUGAACAGACAUGCUUGGUCCCUCGGCUUGUGGAAGGACUGAAUGGUCAUAAUUGUUCCCAAGUGGCAGCUGCUAAGGAUCAUACUGUUGUAUUAACUGAAGAUGGAUGUGUUUAUACAUUUGGUCUAAACAUUUUUCAUCAAUUAGGAAUUAUUCCACCGCCUUCCAGUUGUAAUGUACCCAGACAGAUACAGGCAAAAUAUCUGAAAGGAAGGACAAUCAUUGGCAUUGCAGCAGGCAGGUUUCAUACAGUCCUAUGGACUAGAGAAGCUGUUUACACUAUGGGACUAAAUGGUGGACAACUGGGUUGUUUGCUAGAUCCCAAUGGAGAAAAGUGUGUAACUGCUCCUCGUCAGGUCUCUGCCCUUCACCAUAAAGACAUUGCUCUGUCUUUGGUUGCUGCAAGUGAUGGAGCUACAGUCUGUGUUACCACAAGGGGAGAUAUUUACUUACUUGCAGACUAUCAGUGCAAGAAGAUGGCUUCUAAACAAUUGAACUUGAAAAAAGUUCUUGUGUCUGGGGGUCAUAUGGAAUACAAGGUUGAUCCUGAACAUUUGGAAGAAAAUGGGGGUCAAAAAAUUUGCAUUCUGGCAAUGGAUGGAGCUGGAAGGGUGUUUUGCUGGAGAUCAGUCAACAGUUCUCUGAAGCAGUGUCGAUGGGCCUAUCCACGUCAGGUCUUCAUUUCUGAUAUUGCUUUAAAUAGAAAUGAAAUUCUAUUUGUUACGCAAGAUGGAGAAGGAUUUAGAGGGAGAUGGUUUGAAGAGAAAAGAAAGAGUUCUGAAAAGAAAGAGAUUUUAUCAAACCUUCACAAUUCCUCAUCAGAUGUGUCUUAUGUCUCUGAUAUAAAUAGUGUGUAUGAAAGAAUUCGACUUGAGAAACUUACCUUUGCACAUAGAGCUGUUAGUGUCAGCACAGAUCCAAGUGGAUGCAACUUUGCAAUCCUGCAGUCAGAUCCUAAAACAAGGUUAGAUGGAGUCAGAUUUGAAAAUGAAAAAAUUAAUGUUAUUGCCAAGAACACUGGUGAUAAACUGAAGCUAAGUCAGAAAAAAUGUUCAUUUCUGUGUGACGUGACCAUGAAAUCAGUGGAUGGAAAGGAAUUUCCUUGUCAUAAAUGUGUUCUUUGUGCUAGACUUGAAUAUUUUCAUAGUAUGCUGAGUAGCUCAUGGAUUGAGGCUUCCAGUUGUGCAGCUCUGGAAAUGCCAAUACAUUCUGAUAUAUUAAAAGUUAUUUUGGACUACCUCUAUACUGAUGAAGCUGUGGUGAUAAAAGAAUCUCAAAAUGUAGAUUUUAUUUGUAGUGUUCUUGUGGUGGCUGAUCAACUUCUCAUAACCCGGUUGAAAGAGAUUUGUGAAGUAGCAUUAACUGAAAAACUUACCCUGAAGAAUGCUGCUAUGCUACUGGAAUUUGCAGCAAUGUAUAGUGCAAAACAGUUGAAACUGUCUUGUUUACAGUUUAUAGGAUUGAAUAUGGCAGCUUUACUUGAAGCAAGGUCUCUUGAUGUUUUAAGCGAUGGUGUUUUGAAGGAUCUUUCUGAGUUUUACCGGAAAAUGAUUCCAGCAAUGGAUAGAAGAGUCAUUACACCAUAUCAAGAUGGACCAGAUAUUAGCUAUUUGGAAGUAGAAGAUGGAGAUAUCUUCUUGAAAGAAGAAAUAAAUAUGGAACAAAAUCAUUCGGAAACUAUGUUCAAGAAAGCAAAAACAAAAGCUAAAAAGAAGCCACGUAAACGUUCAGAUAGUUCUGGAGGUUAUAACCUUUCAGAUAUUAUUCAGAGUCCAUCAUCUACAGGAUUAUUAAAGUCUGGUAAGACCAAUUCUGUGGAAUCUCUUCCAGAACUGUUGACAUCAGACUCUGAAGGAAGCUAUGCAGGAGUGGGUAGUCCUAGAGAUUUACAGUCCCCUGAUUUUACAACAGGAUUUCAUUCAGAUAAGAUUGAGGCGAAAGUCAAACAAUAUGUUAAUGGUACAUCUCCUGUGUAUUCUAGGGAAGAUUUAAAACCAUGGGAAAAGUCACCAAUACUUAAAAUAUCUGCUCCACAGCCCAUUCCCAGUAACAGAAUUGAUACUACCAGCUCUGCCAGUUGGGUUGCUGGUUCUUUCAGUCCUGUCAGCCCUCCUGUUGUGGAUCUCAGAACUAUCAUGGAAAUAGAAGAAAGUAGACAAAAAUGUGGAGCUACACCAAAGUCACAUUUAGGGUGGGUUGAAAACAUUACAAAAGAUCAUUUCAUGUUGUAUUUCUGCCCUAAGAAUUGGACAGACUUACUGCAUCUUUCUUAUUAUUUUUCUGCAUUUGAUGUUAUAGUUAAUUAUACAUCCUUUUCUGGGCAAUUUAGCCUCCAUAAUAUUAUCUCUUAAAUAUGUGCUAAAGAUAGAGUUGAGUUGAUAAUCCAGCUCUUGUAGAAUACAGUAUUACAUCCCAGAAACUUGACUCUAAAAUGAUCAUUGUGGACUAUUGGCUACAAAAGCCAAAGAGUUAAGGCUUGUGAUGCAAGUUCUUUUUGAAAUUUGUGAUAUGUUGGAGGGCUCAUAUGUAGCUAUUACUUGAUCAUUGUUAGUAUAAACUGAUAUUUUCAUUGUUGAAACUUGUGAGCAUUUUGAUCCAAUAAUGGUAAAAUAACAUCAAAUAAAUAGAAAACAUUAUUAUUGCCAGUAACCUUUAUUAAGCAGAAAUUAAUGUUAAUUGAUAUAAUUUCUAGCAAGAUGAUUUCUCAUGGAAUUAAACUUUGUCAGAAGAAACCACUGAAACUAAUUGGUUUAAUUUCUAGCAAAACAGUUUCUCAUGGAGUUAAACUUUCUCAGAAGCAACGAAAAAUGAUUGCAUUGACUACCAAGGAAAACAAUUCAGGAAUGAAUAGCAUGGAAACAGUUUUAUCCACUCCUUCAAAAGCCCCCAAACCAGUGAAUGCAUGGGCAUCUUCUCUGCAUUCAGUUUCAUCCAAGUCAUUCCGGGAUUUCUUACUAGAAGAAAAAAAGUCUGUUACUAGCCAUAGUUCAGGCGAUCAUGUCAAAAAAGUUUCUUUUAAAGGAAUUGAAAAUUCUCAGGCACCAAAAAUUGUCAGAUGCUCUACCCAUGGUACCCCAGGACCAGAAGGCAACCAUAUUUCAGAUUUACCACUUCUAGACAGUCCCAAUCCCUGGCUAUCUUCUUCAGUGACUGCUCCAUCCAUGGUAGCCCCAGUCACUUUUGCAUCUAUUGUAGAAGAAGAACUACAACAAGAAGCAGCUCUUAUUAGAAGUCGAGAAAAACCGUUGGCUCUGAUUCAGAUUGAGGAGCAUGCCAUACAAGAUUUAUUGGUUUUCUAUGAGGCAUUUGGCAACCCUGAAGAGUUUGUCGUUGUUGAAAGGACACCGCAGGGACCACUGGCAGUACCUAUGUGGAAUAAGCAUGGAUGCUAGUUCACUGUGGAGUUGAGAUGCAUUUUUCAUAAUUAUGAGUUUGUUCAUAUAAAGAAAAGCUGUGGAAAAGAGUCUUAGAGAUUUUGUAAUAUCAUUCUAAAUAGAUUAAGAAAAGAUAUAAUUUCUUUACUGCAGUUAAAUCAUAUAAUGUUUGUAUGAUUAAAAAUAAAUUUCUCAGAAUUAUGAUUUUAGUAACUUUAUAUAAAAUGUGUGAGACAAAAACUUAUUAAGGUUAAAUAGAAUUGUUUCUUCUGAAUAAUCUAACAAAGGAAAAUAUAAGUGAUUGAAUCAUAAGAUGAUAUAAGGGGGGUGAAGUAUUAAAAAUAACUUUUUUGUUUGAUAACUUGAGAAUUUAGAAGAUUUUGCCAAGUAUGUGUUGUUGCUUGACUUCUUAAAUAUGGCAUUGAUGAAUUUAAAGUAGGAGCAUCAGUUAUUACUUCUGAUUCAUUAAUGGCCAGAAUUUUGUGUUUGGUGUAAUAGUUGUGUCACCAUUCUUGUUGCUUUUUAAAAAUCAGGCUAGGCAUGUGGUCCAUGUCUCUUCAAAGCUUGACCUGCACAAAUGCCAUAUUUCUAUUUGGACCACAUAUUCUCCAUUUUGCAUUGAGCAGUAGAGUACAGUGGAAAGGGAAUAAGAAUACUGAUUAUUCUGAACAGUUUAGUCCCAAGAGAAUAGCUUUAAAAAAAAAAAAAACAAAAAACAACAAGAUUUGGAAUCAUUGUGGGUUAUUUUUGGUGGGAUGGAGGAUCUUAAAAAUGCCUAGUUGUGAGAGAAUCAAUUGCUGAAAGUGUUAAAAUUUCUGAAAAUAAAUGCUUAAUUACAUAUACAGGAAUUAAAUAGUUUGGAAGAGGGCUGGAUUGUCAUUACCUUUACAAUACUGUAUAAUCAGAAGUUCUCUGAACCUCAAUUGUACAUCUAGACAUAAAAAUUGUUUUCUGUAUAGGAUGUUGUUUGGUUUGUUUCUGAGUGUUUAAAUUUUUCAAAAACAAAUGUUAAAUUUGUGCUUCAGUACCUAGAUAAAUUGGAAAGGUUAAUGUUCUAGUUUCUGGAAGGUAAGCCUGGGAGACACAUAAGCAAUUCACUGCUAUAAUUUAGUUGAUGUAAAAUGACGGAAACUGACUCAAUAUGUCAGGUUUAACUCUGCCCAAAAGCAGCAGACAUGUAAGCAGAUGUGCAAUAAAAAAUGAUCUUGAUCCAUUUCACUAAUGUGUGCUUGACAUUUUUUACUAUAUUGACAUUUAUUAUGGAAAGAGUUAAUAAUUAUUUUUUCUGAUGUGCUACACUAGUAGCCAGUAUAUGGUUAAGUUGAUGCUGUAUUUAUUCUAAGACAGAUUUAAAAAGGCAGUUUUCUAAAUAUGAACUUGUGAAUUUUUGUAUGUGUGUUUGAGUAAAUUGAGAAAUGAAUUUUAUAAAUGUUUUAUUGAUGUUGCAGUAAAGAAGCCUUUUGAAGUAAU
This 5560-nucleotide small RNA is filed under the name Pan troglodytes (chimpanzee). RNAcentral describes it as "retained intron". The record is from RNAcentral. Lineage: Eukaryota; Metazoa; Chordata; Mammalia; Primates; Hominidae.